AUGAGUACAACUGCCAUUUUUUAAUCUAUUAAAACUGAAGUACAUAUAUAACUUCACCUUUAAUCUUGCUUAAUAUUUACUUUUCUAUACCACUGUAUUUUUUUCUACUUAUUGGCUGGCCUAAUCGAUAAGAUAUCCCCAAAGCCCAAUACCUAUUAUUUGGCCCGAAAAAUCAUACGAUUUAAUAAAUGAUACGGUCUGUUAUUGAUAUCAUAUGCGAUGUAUUUUUCAGAUUAACCCAAG
This 243-nucleotide long non-coding RNA is filed under the name Brassica napus (rape). Its description in RNAcentral is "long non-coding RNA (BNAP_LNC007599)". Lineage: Eukaryota; Viridiplantae; Streptophyta; Magnoliopsida; Brassicales; Brassicaceae. The record is from RNAcentral.